CACAGAUUAACAGAAUAUCAUACAAUUUACAAUCACAACAAAAACAUUUUAAGCUUUAAGCUCUUAAUUAACAAUGAUACACUAAAUAAAAGCAUGCUUAGCAGUGGCAAAUAUUUCAGGUCUAUCCAGGACAAAACAAUAAAAUAAAUGAUGACAAAGAAAUUAAUAACUAAUUCAUUUAACAUGUUUACAAUCCAUUCUAUAACUCAACUGAAAAAUGAAGCAAUUAACUUUUAUUUCGGACAAACAGCGGAUCCAGAAAUUUUUAUAAGUCGGUGCCCAGUGACUGCCUCAGAGGGGCCUUCAGUGAUUCCCUAUGUAAUCAACCAUUUUUUUCCCAGAAAAGGAGGGUUGGGGGGCCUGGGCCCCCUCUAUAAAUUUAAGUCUGGUUGGUAGACAAGUAUAUUCAUCAGUUUCAUGUACAAUAUGCAUGCAUUACUUUUUGCAACUAAUAUAUUUUCAAAUGAAAUAUUUAGUAUGACAAGUACUAACCUGUAUUAUUGCAUACAUGUACAAUGAUAUACAAACAAAUUGGUUAAGAAAUUAAUAUUUAAAAAGUAUACAAUAUCAAUAAAUUGCAUGACAUUGGCAUGGAUAUGAUCUAAAGAAGGGACCCUUCACUGCAAUCUAGUGUUUACCAACAAAGAUACAGACGAGGCCUAGGACUGAAAUAUGGAGACAUACAUACAAUGAAACAUGGAUAACAACAUCAAGCCAAUAACAAUAGGGUUUUGAUCAUGAUUGCACUGUUGAAAUCUCAACAAUCAUCUUAGUAAACAAAUAAUUAACUGACAUUACAUUAAUGUUCAGGCAAAUAAGGAAGACAACAUAUAGUAAAAUGACUCAUUACAAAUGUUACAUGAAUUCCAC
This 870-nucleotide long non-coding RNA is filed under the name Mytilus galloprovincialis (Mediterranean mussel). The record is from RNAcentral. Lineage: Eukaryota; Metazoa; Mollusca; Bivalvia; Mytilida; Mytilidae.